RNAcentral lists this ribosomal RNA (1322 nucleotides) under uncultured bacterium. Its description in RNAcentral is "bacterial SSU rRNA". It matches the Rfam family "Bacterial small subunit ribosomal RNA", at positions 28 to 1398 of the family's 1533-position model. The record is from RNAcentral.
GAUGAACGCUGGCGGCGUGCUUAACACAUGCAAGUCGAACGAACCUUCGGGUUAGUGGCGGACGGGUGAGUAACGCGUGGGAAUCUGCCCUCAGGAGGGGGAUAACGGUUGGAAACGACCGCUAAUACCCCAUAUGCCGAGAGGUGAAAUGAAUUUCGCCUGAGGAUGAGCCCGCGUCUGAUUAGCUUGUUGGUGAGGUAAUGGCUCACCAAGGCAUCGAUCAGUAGCUGGUCUGAGAGGAUGAUCAGCCACACUGGGACUGAGACACGGCCCAGACUCCUACGGGAGGCAGCAGUGGGGAAUUUUCCGCAAUGGGCGAAAGCCCGACGGAGCAACGCCGCGUGAGGGACGAAGGCCUCUGGGCUGUAAACCUCUUUUCUCAAGGAAGAAGAUAUGACGGUACUUGAGGAAUAAGCCACGGCUAAUUCCGUGCCAGCAGCCGCGGUAAUACGGGAGUGGCAAGCGUUAUCCGGAAUUAUUGGGCGUAAAGCGUCCGCAGGCGGCCCUUCAAGUCUGCUGUUAAAACGUGGAGCUUAACUCCAUCAUGGCAGUGGAAACUGAUUGGCUUGAGUAUGGUAGGGGCAGAGGGAGUCCCCGGUGUAGCGGUGAAAUGCGUAGAUAUCGGGAAGAACACCAGUGGCGAAGGCGCUCUGCUGGGCCAUUACUGACGCUCAUGGACGAAAGCCAGGGGAGCGAAAGGGAUUAGAUACCCCUGUAGUCCUGGCCGUAAACGAUGAACACUAGGUGUCGGGGGAAUCGACCCCUUCGGUGUCGUAGCUAACGCGUUAAGUGUUCCGCCUGGGGAGUACGCACGCAAGUGUGAAACUCAAAGGAAUUGACGGGGGCCCGCACAAGCGGUGGAGUAUGUGGUUUAAUUCGAUGCAACGCGAAGAACCUUACCAGGGCUUGACAUCCUGCGAACCUUUAAGAAAUUAGAGGGUGCCUUCGGGAACGCAGUGACAGGUGGUGCAUGGCUGUCGUCAGCUCGUGUCGUGAGAUGUUGGGUUAAGUCCCGCAACGAGCGCAACCCACGUUUUUAGUUGCCAGCAUUUAGUUGGGCACUCUAGAAAGACCGCCGGUGAUAAACCGGAGGAAGGUGUGGAUGACGUCAAGUCAUCAUGCCCCUUACGUCCUGGGCUACACACGUACUACAAUGCUACGGACAGAGGGCAGCAAACUCGCGAGAGCUAGCAAAUCCCAUAAACCGUGGCUCAGUUCAGAUCGUAGGCUGCAACUCGCCUACGUGAAGUAGGAAUCGCUAGUAAUCGCAGGUCAGCAUACUGCGGUGGAUACGUUCCCGGGCCUUGUACACACCGCCCGUC